UGAACCCGCUUGCGGGGGAUUAGUGGCGAACGGGUGAGUAACACGUGAGUAACCUGCCCUUAACUCUGGGAUAAGCCUUGGAAACGGGGUCUAAUACUGGAUAUUGACUUUACCUCGCAUGGGGUUUUGUUGAAAGAUUUAUUGGUUUUGGAUGGACUCGCGGCCUAUCAGCUUGUUGGUGAGGUAAUGGCUCACCAAGGCGACGACGGGUAGCCGGCCUGAGAGGGUGACCGGCCACACUGGGACUGAGACACGGCCCAGACUCCUACGGGAGGCAGCAGUGGGGAAUAUUGCACAAUGGGCGAAAGCCUGAUGCAGCGACGCCGCGUGAGGGAUGACGGCCUUCGGGUUGUAAACCUCUUUCAGUAGGGAACAAGGCCAGCAUUUUUGUUGGUUGAGGGUACUUGCAGAAGAAGCGCCGGCUAACUACGUGCCAGCAGCCGCGGUAAUACGUAGGGCGCAAGCGUUAUCCGGAAUUAUUGGGCGUAAAGAGCUCGUAGGCGGUUUGUCGCGUCUGCCGUGAAAGUCCGGGGCUCAACUCCGGAUCUGCGGUGGGUACGGGCAGACUAGAGUGAUGUAGGGGAGACUGGAAUUCCUGGUGUAGCGGUGAAAUGCGCAGAUAUCAGGAGGAACACCGAUGGCGAAGGCAGGUCUCUGGGCAUUAACUGACGCUGAGGAGCGAAAGCAUGGGGAGCGAACAGGAUUAGAUACCCUGGUAGUCCAUGCCGUAAACGUUGGGCACUAGGUGUGGGGGACAUUCCACGUUUUCCGCGCCGUAGCUAACGCAUUAAGUGCCCCGCCUGGGGAGUACGGCCG
Molecule: ribosomal RNA, 816 nt
Filed under: Arthrobacter sp. PF63
Lineage: Bacteria; Bacillati; Actinomycetota; Actinomycetes; Micrococcales; Micrococcaceae
Description: bacterial SSU rRNA
Rfam family: Bacterial small subunit ribosomal RNA
Source: RNAcentral